UACGUCCCGAGCGCUUAAAGGGAGCCGCACGUGGUUUGUUCGUUCUUUCGCUCGCGCCGCUGCUCGUCUUGCACUUUGUCUACGGAGGGGAGGAAGGAGACGAUGAGGCCUUGCAGGCGCCGAGGUUUGUUUCAUUUGCCACGUGGGGCCAGACCUGGAGUGGCAGGAGGGAGCAUGGAUCCUGACCCGCCUGCUUAGAAGCUAGCUGCCCUAAAGGGAGCUGAAGCUGUCCUCUUCCCAAGAGGAGCAUUCCUGAUUCCUGUAGCCCUGGCUUCAAAGAGGGUGAGAAGAAGCAACUGUUUGUUUUCUCCUCUGGGUGGCAGCAGGGUCAAGAACAGAGGGCAAUGGAUUUCCAAGAGCCUGGAAAAACCAAAUGCUUCCCAACCAAGAGGUUAGUGGCUGAUGGCCAAGACCUUCCCAGGUGCACCCCACCACCUCUAUCUCUUUGCAUAUGGCAUACCUGGCAGUGUGGCUGUGACUCCUAGAAAACAAGUAGAGGCUCAUUCCAAUCCAACUUCAUCUUUGCAAAGUUUUGGGAACAGGGCAGAAGACAGAAACCUGUUUUGAAAUGUCUCUUCUGUCUGUAUGUGGCCACAAAUAUUUAUAAGCUGUGAGAGUAAAUAAAACUUAUUUUUGAAUGUACAA
Long non-coding RNA from Podarcis raffonei (Aeolian wall lizard), 645 nucleotides. RefSeq lists it as uncharacterized. The record is from RefSeq and is a predicted model, not a curated record. The transcript is spliced from 5 exons. NCBI's taxonomy places the organism in Eukaryota, Metazoa, Chordata, Lepidosauria, Squamata, Lacertidae.